AUGCACGCUGGCGGCGUGCCUAAUACAUGCAAGUCGAGCGAACAGACGAGGAGCUUGCUCCUCUGACGUUAGCGGCGGACGGGUGAGUAACACGUGGAUAACCUACCUAUAAGACUGGGAUAACUUCGGGAAACCGGAGCUAAUACCGGAUAAUAUAUUGAACCGCAUGGUUCAAUAGUGAAAGACGGUUUUGCUGUCACUUAUAGAUGGAUCCGCGCCGCAUUAGCUAGUUGGUAAGGUAACGGCUUACCAAGGCAACGAUGCGUAGCCGACCUGAGAGGGUGAUAGGCCACACUGGAACUGAGACACGGUCCAGACUCCUACGGGAGGCAGCAGUAGGGAAUCUUCCGCAAUGGGCGAAAGCUUGACGGAGCAACGCCGCGUGAGUGAUGAAGGUCUUCGGAUCGUAAAACUCUGUUAUUAGGGAAGAACAAAUGUGUAAGUAACUAUGCACGUCUUGACGGUACCUAAUCAGAAAGCCACGGCUAACUACGUG
RNAcentral lists this ribosomal RNA (496 nucleotides) under uncultured bacterium. RNAcentral's name for it is "partial 16S ribosomal RNA". It matches the Rfam family "Bacterial small subunit ribosomal RNA", at positions 29 to 507 of the family's 1533-position model. The record is from RNAcentral.